RNAcentral lists this ribosomal RNA (484 nucleotides) under uncultured Enterococcus sp. Its description in RNAcentral is "partial 16S ribosomal RNA". The record is from RNAcentral. Lineage: Bacteria; Bacillati; Bacillota; Bacilli; Lactobacillales; Enterococcaceae.
CACGUAGUUAGCCGUGGCUUUCUGGUUAGAUACCGUCAAGGGAUGAACGUUCUACUCUCAUCCUUGUUCUUCUCUAACAACAGAGUUUUACGAUCCGAAAACCUUCUUCACUCACGCGGCGUUGCUCGGUCAGACUUUCGUCCAUUGCCGAAGAUUCCCUACUGCUGCCUCCCGUAGGAGUCUGGGCCGUGUCUCAGUCCCAGUGUGGCCGAUCACCCUCUCAGGUCGGCUAUGCAUCGUUGCCUUGGUGAACCGUUACCUCACCAACUAGCUAAUGCACCGCGGGUCCAUCCAUCAGUGACGCAAAAGCGCCUUUCAACUUUCUUCCAUGACGGAAAUAGUGUUAUACGGUAUUAGCACCUGUUUCCAAGUGUUACUUCCCCUUAUGAUGGGACUACGGUUACCCACGGUCGUUACUCCACCCGUUCGCCUACUUCCCUUUUUCGUUUCGGGUUGGACGACAAGGUCCUUACCGGUAGAAAAA